This 570-nucleotide ribosomal RNA is filed under the name Microbacterium maritypicum. Its description in RNAcentral is "bacterial SSU rRNA". It matches the Rfam family "Bacterial small subunit ribosomal RNA", at positions 71 to 654 of the family's 1533-position model. Lineage: Bacteria; Bacillati; Actinomycetota; Actinomycetes; Micrococcales; Microbacteriaceae. The record is from RNAcentral.
ACACGGAGCUUGCUCUGUGGGAUCAGUGGCGAACGGGUGAGUAACACGUGAGCAACCUGCCCCUGACUCUGGGAUAAGCGCUGGAAACGGCGUCUAAUACUGGAUAUGUGACGUGACCGCAUGGUCUGCGUCUGGAAAGAAUUUCGGUUGGGGAUGGGCUCGCGGCCUAUCAGCUUGUUGGUGAGGUAAUGGCUCACCAAGGCGUCGACGGGUAGCCGGCCUGAGAGGGUGACCGGCCACACUGGGACUGAGACACGGCCCAGACUCCUACGGGAGGCAGCAGUGGGGAAUAUUGCACAAUGGGCGCAAGCCUGAUGCAGCAACGCCGCGUGAGGGACGACGGCCUUCGGGUUGUAAACCUCUUUUAGCAGGGAAGAAGCGAAAGUGACGGUACCUGCAGAAAAAGCGCCGGCUAACUACGUGCCAGCAGCCGCGGUAAUACGUAGGGCGCAAGCGUUAUCCGGAAUUAUUGGGCGUAAAGAGCUCGUAGGCGGUUUGUCGCGUCUGCUGUGAAAUCCGGAGGCUCAACCUCCGGCCUGCAGUGGGUACGGGCAGACUAGAGUGCGGUAG